This 66-nucleotide transfer RNA is filed under the name Onthophagus fimetarius. RNAcentral's name for it is "tRNA-Glu". The record is from RNAcentral. Lineage: Eukaryota; Metazoa; Arthropoda; Insecta; Coleoptera; Scarabaeidae.
AAUUUAUUAGUUUAAAUAAAACCUUACAUUUUCACUGUAAAAAUAAAUUUUUAUAUUUAUAAAUUA